RNAcentral lists this ribosomal RNA (253 nucleotides) under uncultured bacterium. RNAcentral's name for it is "partial 16S ribosomal RNA". It matches the Rfam family "Bacterial small subunit ribosomal RNA", at positions 524 to 776 of the family's 1533-position model. The record is from RNAcentral.
UACGGAGGGGGCUAGCGUUGUUCGGAAUCACUGGGCGUAAAGCGCACGUAGGCGGCUUCUUAAGUCAGGGGUGAAAUCCUGGAGCUCAACUCCAGAACUGCCUUUGAUACUGAGGAGCUCGAGUCCGGGAGAGGUGAGUGGAACUCCGAGUGUAGAGGUGAAAUUCGUAGAUAUUCGGAAGAACACCAGUGGCGAAGGCGGCUCACUGGCCCGGUACUGACGCUGAGGUGCGAAAGCGUGGGGAGCAAACAGG